RNAcentral lists this transfer-messenger RNA (324 nucleotides) under Rhodospirillaceae bacterium. It matches the Rfam family "Alphaproteobacteria transfer-messenger RNA". Rfam says of the family: Bacterial tmRNA, also known as 10Sa RNA or SsrA, is named for its dual tRNA and mRNA-like properties. The record is from RNAcentral. Lineage: Bacteria; Pseudomonadati; Pseudomonadota; Alphaproteobacteria; Rhodospirillales; Rhodospirillaceae.
ACACUUCCAAUAGUAAUUCAUUCGGCUUAUAUUGUGCAUGUCGGGUGACCGACUAUGACGAUAAACACUGUUCGGAAUAAUCGUUGCGGACCCGGGGGCAGUGCCCGGCGCCUCCACCAAUUUCCCCACCCGUUUUUUUCGGGUGUGCAAUGGGGGCGAAACAGGAUCGACGUACGUGGUAAAGGUUCAGCUUUCGUCCGGCAUGGUACCCACCGUUAUCGGGCCAAACAGAGAAAUGCCAACGAUAAUGAGGCAUUUGCAGUAGCAGCUUAACGGCUCUUACUACGGGGUUCGGGGGGCACCUGGCAACAGAAGCCCCCCACU